AUUCAAUGAGUAUCUAUGUCAUUAUCCUUAUUUAACACCCUCUCUAAUUAGAUUGGUUGCCGAUUUUGGGAUUUGGCUUUGAGAGAACACGCCAGCACAAAUAAGAAUGGAUUAUUUGAUGAAUCUCUCAACAGUUUCUUUCGUAAUGUUGAUACAAGGUACAAAAAUCCAGUUGAUAUUCCAUUGGGAAAUGCAAAGCAGAAGAUAAAAUCAUUAAAAGCAAGGGCAGUUGUUAUCGAUAUGGAGGAAGGUGUUGUAAAUGAGAUUCUCAAAGGUCCAUUACGUGACGUAUUUGACUGUCAACAGUCAAUAACUGAUGUGUCUGGAUCAGGAAAUAACUGG
Long non-coding RNA from Pocillopora damicornis (cauliflower coral), 342 nucleotides. The record is from RefSeq and is a predicted model, not a curated record. Lineage: Eukaryota; Metazoa; Cnidaria; Anthozoa; Scleractinia; Pocilloporidae.